GGUUAGCAAGAGACAUGCCAUUGUCAAGAAGUCUACCUCCCCAAAAGCAGAUGCAUGAAGUGCAUGCUGCUCAGUGUCAAAGUACAACGAUGUCUUCCCCAUCAACAGAGGCAAUGAAGCUGAAGUGAGAUCAACCAAUCAACAAUCAACAAAGUGAAUGAUGUCUAUACUUUGUACAUCGAGCUUGUAUUGAAAAUGCCCUUUCUGCUAAUAAGGCAUGCUAUCUGCAAAUAAAUUGCUGCUAGAUUCCUCUGCCUACCAUCAUACCAAUGUCUACACAUCACCAACGUAGAUAUGUGAAGCUGACAACCAAGCAUGAGGAAGCUGAUAUGCUACAAGCAAUUGUGUAGCAAAUAACUUUUGCGAUACAAUCUUGAUGGCUUGAGAGGAGAGCAACUCUUCAAGGCAUUCUACGCAUCAAGGAAUCAUGGAUGAACAACCCCAUAACUUGUAAAAUCAAAUGUAUACCGUAGAUGCAAUCUGUACUUCACGUAUGUUUUUGUAAAAAGUAAGUGCACCAUUUGCAAGCAAGCACACAAUGUGUAUUUUAAAAACACCCAAGUCAGCGAUCUAUGGUAGUGAGUGAAGUAAAAGCAGUGAUGCUAUGGUUUGAUUAGUGGCUGUGCGGUGGUUCAAUGAAU
This is a long non-coding RNA of Asterias rubens (European starfish), 641 nucleotides long. RefSeq lists it as uncharacterized. The record is from RefSeq and is a predicted model, not a curated record. Lineage: Eukaryota; Metazoa; Echinodermata; Asteroidea; Forcipulatida; Asteriidae. The transcript has 4 exons.